UCGCCUAAGGAUGAGUCGGCGGCGGAUUAGGUUGAUGGCGGGGUAAUGGCCCACCAUGCCUUUGAUCCGUAGGGGCCAUGAGAGUGGUAGCCCCAAGAAGGGUACUGAUAUACUGACCCUAGCCCUACGGGGUGCAGCAGGCGCGAAACCUUUACAAUGCACGAAAGUGUGAUAAGGGAAUCCUAAGUGCUCAUGCUUUGCAUGGGCUUUUGUCAAGAGUAAAUACCUUGGCGAAUAAGUGGUGGGCAAGACUGGUGCCAGCCGCCGCGGUAACACCAGCGCCACUAGUGGCAACCAUGUUUAUUGGGCCUAAAGCGUCCGUAGCCGGUCUGACAAAUCUUUUGUGAAAUCGUUGAUGUAAACUUAACGGCGAGCAAGAGACACUAUCAGACUUGAGAUCGGGAGGAGUCAGAGGUAUUCCUUGGGGAGCGGUAAAAUGCUAUAAUCCUUGGAAGACCACCUGUGGCGAAGGCGUCUGACUAGAACGAUUCUGACGGUGAGGGACGAAAGCUAGGGGAGCGAACCGGAUUAGAUACCCGAGUAGUCCUAGCUGUAAACUCUGCGAGCAAGGUGUUGCACAUUCUCAGUGAUUGUGCAGUAUCGAAACGAAGGUGUUAAGCUCGCCGCCUGGGUAGUAUGGUCGCAAGGCUGAAACUUAAAGGAAUUGGCGGGGAGGCACUACAACGGGUGCGGCGUGCUGUUUAAUCUAAUUUUACACAGAGAAUCUCACUAGGGGCGACGGCCGAAUGACAGACAGGUUGAUGGCCUUUCUUGACAAGCCGAGAGGUGGUGCAUGGCCGCCGUCAGUUCGUGCUGUAAGGUGUCCUUUUAAGUAAGGUAACGAACGAGACCUGAGCCCAUAAUUGCCAGCAGAUCCUUUGGUUUCCUCAGGACGACUGGGCACAUUGUGGGGACUGCCUUCGAAAGGAGGAGGAAGGUUCAGGCUACGGUAGGUCUGUAUGCCCCGAAUCUCCUAGGCAACAAGCGCGCAACAAUGGCAGGAACAAUGGGCUGCAACUCCGAAAGGAGAAGCUAAUCCUCGAAAUCCUGUCCUAGUUUAGAUCGAGGUUUGCAACUCAGCCUCGUGACAACGGAAUCCGUAGUAAUCGGGUGUUAUCAGCGCCCGGUGAAUAUGUCCCUGCCUCUUGCACACACUGCCCGUCAAGCCACUCGAGCAGGGUCUGGGUAAGAUUCAGUUAUUUUGACUGUCUCGAAUCUAAGCUCAGUGAGAUGGGCUAAGUCGACACAAGGUA
This 1253-nucleotide ribosomal RNA is filed under the name metagenome. Its description in RNAcentral is "bacterial SSU rRNA". It matches the Rfam family "Archaeal small subunit ribosomal RNA", at positions 199 to 1445 of the family's 1478-position model. The record is from RNAcentral.